CAUAUGAGACACAGAACCUGCACACUGAACACUGAGAGCCAGAUAAUCCUUAACAACCAACUCAUCAGACCGUUUGGAAAGUAGUCUGUUAUCUUUGGGAGUGAGAAGGUUCUUGGCCACCACCGCAGCGGUCAUAUCAUUCUUCAUCAUAGAGUCCCCAACGGUAAGAAGACCAGUAGGGGAUAAGAAGGAUGGGCGCCAUAUGUUGUCUUGAUAAGGCAUGGCUGCCUUUUCACCAAAGUUCAAGUCAAAAUUAUGGUCAUAUGAGCCAGACAUUCUCAGAAAUGAUGAAGGAGAAUGAGGUGCAAUAAAUCUCUGAGGUAAAGGAAAAAUUCCUACAAGCAAUAACCCUCUGAAUGUACUUCUUGCACACAAUUGGUGCCCUUAUAAAAGAAAGGGCAACAUGGUCGUUGGUUCAAAAAUUGAAAAGACACCACUCUCCGGAUUCCGAAGAGGCACCAUUUUUCACACUCAACAUCAGCUCAUCGGGUACCACAGAUAACUUUGCCAAAGAUCUCUGACAAAGUUUAGACACAUAAAUUUUGAAGGUUCAGCUACCCUUCUAUUGUUGG
Molecule: long non-coding RNA, 572 nt
Filed under: Malus domestica (apple)
Lineage: Eukaryota; Viridiplantae; Streptophyta; Magnoliopsida; Rosales; Rosaceae
Description: long non-coding RNA (MDOM_LNC018861)
Source: RNAcentral